GAUUGCAACACUUUAACAACCUCUCUGCAGUCGCGGCUG
This 39-nucleotide non-coding RNA is filed under the name unclassified sequences. Its description in RNAcentral is "S4-Bacteroidia ribosomal protein leader". It matches the Rfam family "S4-Bacteroidia ribosomal protein leader". The record is from RNAcentral.